Oryza glumipatula is the source of this 205-nucleotide non-coding RNA. The record is from Rfam. Lineage: Eukaryota; Viridiplantae; Streptophyta; Magnoliopsida; Poales; Poaceae.
CCUCCGUUCCAAAAUAAGUUCUGCGCCCAACUUUAACCAUUCAUCUUAUUUAAUAUUUUUUUUUAAAAAAAUUAAAAACAUAAGUCAUGAGUAAGGUACUAUUCAUGUUUUAUCAUCUUAUAUCAAUAAAAAUGCUAAUUAUAAAAAAAUUUCGAAUAAGACGAACUAUCAAAGUUGGACGCGGAAAGUCAUGGCUACACUUAUU